UCCUGGCCGUAAACGAUGCGGGCUAGGUGUCACAGUGGCUACGAGCCACUGUGGUGCCGUAGAGAAAUCGUGAAGCCUGCCGCUUGGGAAGUACGGCCGCAAGGCUGAAACUUGAAGGAAUUGGCGGGGGAGCACUACAACGGGUGGAGCCUGCGGUUUAAUUGGAUUCAACGCCGGGAAGCUUACCGGGUGCGACAGCUGGAUGAAGGCCAGGCUAAAGACCUUGCUGGACUAGCUGAGAGGAGGUGCAUGGCCGUCGUCAGUUCGUACUGUGAAGCGUCCUGUUAAGUCAGGCAACGAACGAGACCCACGCCCAUUGUUGCCAGCGCGCCCUCAGGGGUGCGGGUACACGGUGGGGACCGCUGGUGCUAA
This 372-nucleotide ribosomal RNA is filed under the name uncultured bacterium. RNAcentral describes it as "bacterial SSU rRNA". It matches the Rfam family "Archaeal small subunit ribosomal RNA", at positions 745 to 1117 of the family's 1478-position model. The record is from RNAcentral.